This 424-nucleotide ribosomal RNA is filed under the name uncultured bacterium. RNAcentral's name for it is "bacterial SSU rRNA". It matches the Rfam family "Bacterial small subunit ribosomal RNA", at positions 29 to 416 of the family's 1533-position model. The record is from RNAcentral.
AUUGAACGCUGGCGGCAUGCUUUACACAUGCAAGUCGAACGGCAGCACAGCAGAGGUAACUCUGUGGGUGGCGAGUGGCGAACGGGUGAGUAAUACAUCGGAACGUACCCUGUUGUGGGGGAUAACUACGCGAAAGCGUAGCUAAUACCGCAUACGCCCUGAGGGGGAAAGCGGGGGACCCUAAAUAGAGCGCACUGGGGAGUGCGUUGUAUUUAGGGCCUCGCGCAAUAGGAGCGGCCGAUGUCGGAUUAGCUAGUUGGUGAGGUAAAGGCUUACCAAGGCGACGAUCCGUAGCUGGUCUGAGAGGAUGAUCAGCCACACUGGGACUGAGACACGGCCCAGACUCCUACGGGAGGCAGCAGUGGGGAAUUUUGGACAAUGGGGGCAACCCUGAUCCAGCCAUGCCGCGUGAGUGAAGAAGGCC